UGGCAAACAAGCUCCUGAUAAUCUCUCUCGUCUUCUCCUCUCUCUUCUCCGUCUCCUCUUCUGUCCCUUCCGAAACACUCCUUGUAGCCGCCGAUAUUCUCUCAAAUUCCGGCUACCUAUCCAUGUCUCUUACUUUGCAACUCGUAUCCAACUCUCUGAUUCCACACUCUCCAGCUCUCACCAUAUUCUCUCCCUCUGAUUCUGCCUUUGCUCGCUCAGGCCAGCCUUCACUUUCCCUCCUCCAGUUCCAUUUCAGUCCUCUCUCUUUCCACCUCCGUUCCCUCAAACCCCUCUCUUCCGGCUCCAAGAUCCCCACUCUCUUUGAUAAUCACUCGCUCACCGUCACUUCCGGGCCAUCUGACGAUGACGCUAUUUCUGUAAAUGGAGUCAAGAUUAAUGGGUCGCCGAUAUAUGACGAUGGAUCUUUGGUUAUUCUUGGGAUCGGCGAGUUUUUGGAUCCAGAUUUUGAGGUUUCGCCGAAAAUUCCAGGAACUGGUGGUAAGCAUGGAUGUUCUUUCGAGGCCGGCCGUGGAUUUUACUCGUUUAAAGAGGCAACUGGGGUUUUGAGAUCAAAGGCGUUCUCUGUUAUUGCGUCGUUUCUGGAUUUGCAGUUGGUGGGCUCUAAGGACCGCCCUGCCUUAACAAUCUUUGCUCCAGUUGAUGAAGUGAUGAAGGGUUUUGUUGGUAAUGUGGAUGAGUACUCUUCGAUCUUUCUUAGGCAUGUUGUGCCCUGCAAGAUGCCAUGGAAGGAUUUGGUUAAUUUCAAUGAUGGGAUGGUGUUAGAUACAUAUUCGGAGGGGUUUGGAAUUCGCAUAAGCAGAUCUGGUGAUAUUUUCAUGCUCAACGAAGUCCCAGUUAGCUUCCCGGACAUGUACCAGAGUGACUGGCUCGUCGUUCAUGGCCUUCGUGGCAUAUUAGAGGGACCAAAUAGGCCAGAAGAAGUGGGAAGCGCUUCUUCUGAAAUGGGUAACAACAGAGAAACGAGCAUCUUGGAUGAUGUUGAACUGUAAAGCUUUCUGGUAAAUCCGCGUAGCUCUCAGUUUCCAUUACUUGAGUUUAGA
RNAcentral lists this unclassified non-coding RNA (1061 nucleotides) under Hevea brasiliensis (rubber tree). The record is from RNAcentral. Lineage: Eukaryota; Viridiplantae; Streptophyta; Magnoliopsida; Malpighiales; Euphorbiaceae.